GACUUGGUAGCUCUGCAUGACAUAUCAAGGAGCUGCUUGCAUGUGACAUCACAACAUCAAACUUUGAAAUUCAUAACUCUUAUUCUGUGGUUAAGUGUGUGUCUCUACUGCUUUUGUUGAUUUUGUCAACCCUACAGGAUGUAGACAAAUCACAAAAAUAAAGGCAUCAACUCAAUACAAUUUCAUAGAAAAAAGGUUUCAUUUCUUUAAUUAAUUUAGCACGUUUUUACUGUAUGUAACUGACCUAGAAUUUAGACAUUUUUAAACAAUAACCAAGACAAAUUACAAAUCUGCAGAAGUUAUGCUUUCAAAGUCAUUUAACAUACAAAAUUCACCAAUAGUGUGACUUCAGUAAAAACAUACAAGUACACAAAGUAAAUCAAUGAUAAACAUUGCUUGAUUUUGUCCUCAAAUAUUUGAAUUUGGAAAUAAAUAAAUGUAAUUUUUCUCAUUACCUUACAUAAUUAAUGACAACUACUGAAUAUUAGGAAAGGACAACAUUGUGACAAAUAUAUUUUACUUAAAUAUUCAACAUGAUUUAAGAGUACCGUAAUAGUGGUAAUUUUUAGUCAAGAUUCUGAAUUAAGAGACUCCUUAUCGUAUAUCCUGUAACAAGGUCUGUAUUCAUAAUUAGUCGAGCAAAUUUCAGUCAAGACACAUCCUAUUAAGUAUUAAUCACAUAUCAGUGAUAAAACUUUAAAGUUAGCCACAAGCCCACCACAAAUGUAAACUUUAUUAAAUAGAUUAAAGGGCACGAAGUACCUCUUAGAUCAUAGAAGUUGAUUUCUUUUUCUUCAAAUGUAAAACUAUUAAACGCCUAAUAAAUGGUAAAAAAAUAUCAUUUUUUUUCAUAGCAUGUUGACUGUUAAAAGUGUAUCUUAGACAUACGUAGAGUGAGUAGGCACUCUCCUGCUUUAGAUUUCACAAAAUAAAAUUCAAAUAUCAAAGAAAAUCACAAAUAUGAGCACUUGUGCUCUAGCUGUGAAAGUGUACAUAAGACCGUUUGGUACAUGUAUUUUUGUCACACAAAUAAAAUAACGGGCAUAUGUCUGGAACUGAAAGCUUCACAUGCAAUAAGUGAGUGUACAAUAUUUUUUCUUAUACAUAGGUGUUCUUCUAGACAGGAAUAACCGUUGUUUCUGGGGAUUUACAAUGUAUAAACAAUUUCUGACAUUUUAUUAUUGGUGAGUGGAGCCAACACAGUUCAGCGGAACAACCAAUUACAGAGACUGAAGCUUUUGGUCUAUAGUAUUCUCCUUGCUUCUUGAAACUGCAUUUCAGUGUAUUUGUUUUUAUUUGCUGUUAAAGGUAAAUGCUAGUUUUGGUAA
Long non-coding RNA from Lytechinus variegatus (green sea urchin), 1328 nucleotides. RefSeq lists it as uncharacterized. The record is from RefSeq and is a predicted model, not a curated record. Lineage: Eukaryota; Metazoa; Echinodermata; Echinoidea; Temnopleuroida; Toxopneustidae. The transcript has 2 exons.